CGGACGGGUGAGUAACGCGUGGAAAACCUGCCGUAUACUGGGGGACUAACACUUAGAAAUAGGUGCUAAUACCGCAUAAGCGCACAGCUUCGCAUGAAGCGGUGUGAAAAACUCUGGUGGUAUACGAUGGUUCCGCGUCUGAUUAGCUAGUUGGUGGGGUAAUGGCCUACCAAGGCAACGAUCAGUAGCCGGCCUGAGAGGGUGAACGGCCACAUUGGGACUGAGACACGGCCCAAACUCCUACGGAAGGCAGCAG
This 256-nucleotide ribosomal RNA is filed under the name uncultured bacterium. RNAcentral's name for it is "partial 16S ribosomal RNA". It matches the Rfam family "Bacterial small subunit ribosomal RNA", at positions 99 to 354 of the family's 1533-position model. The record is from RNAcentral.